This 1296-nucleotide long non-coding RNA is filed under the name Durio zibethinus. Its description in RNAcentral is "long non-coding RNA (DZIB_LNC000357)". Lineage: Eukaryota; Viridiplantae; Streptophyta; Magnoliopsida; Malvales; Malvaceae. The record is from RNAcentral.
UUCCUAUCUUGCCUAUAUAAACCCUUGCAGUUCAGGUUUAGUCAAUACCAAAAUCCUCCUUCGCUUUGAACUAAGUAGAGAAAAAUAGCCACGGCAGAUCGUGAUCGAAGUCAAUUCCAGCGUGUUCAACGUGAAGCUCGCAGAAUGCAUAAAGAAAAGAGAAAGGCCAAGGAUAACAAAAUGACAAGUACUGAGGAACCGAUGCCAAAACUUGAAACAAUUAAUGAUAGCGGCAAGAAGGAUACUGCAACAAAGAAAGGCAAUAUAUCCUUGGCAAGCCCCUACAUCGCUCAAGCUCAUCCUCCUCGUCAAGCUCUCCAUCUGUAAGCCUAAUUACCUACUUUCUAUCUAGAUGACGGUUGGUUUCUUUCAAUUAGCUCAUGUUUACUUAUCAUAACUCCAUUAUCAACUCUCUUUAUCUAUGAACAUGUUUUUUAUAUGAGAAUUUAACCAUAUAUAUGAUCUUAAUUUGCCAUUUGCAUUUCUACUUUGUGCUUGUAAUAAAUGGCUUCGAAAUGGAUUUGCUUGAAAGAUUGACUCCUAUUUCAUCGAAUUAAAGCUUUCACAAUGCUUAAUGAUAAGAAAGCCAAUGUACAAAACUCUCAUUCUUGAAAAAGAAAAGGGUAAAACCUCAUUAAUAAUUUAAAACUAUAUCACACUUAAUUACAAAAAUAUACAAUAGCACACUUGAGAAUUUAGCAGUUAUAAGCAUCAUACCAUAGAGAAUAUAGUUCUGAUUAAUUUCUUGAGAUAAACGCUUUAAUAUUUGAAUAUUAAUUCCAUAUGCAGUCUGAGGAAGGCGACAUGAUUAUAAAAGACAAAUCUCCUGCUGCCCCAACAGCUGAACAAAGGCAACAGCAGAAGAUGAAAAGAAUGUCCCAGCACCAUGAGAAGAAAGGAAUACUUGAGAAGAUCAAGACGAAGCUCCCUGGAAUCAAUUAGAUAACUUUAAUAAACUAGUUUAUACUAUAUAGCCUUGUUUGUAACUUAUAUGCGCAGGUUACUAGUAAUAAGCGCUCCUUACAAAAUUGUGAUAAAAUACAACAGGCAGAGUAUUAUAGGAGAUGUGUUCUCAUACAUGCAGGCUGGUUUCUGCACCGGAAUUCCAGCUUUAUUGUUUAUACAUCUGACUCAUUUAACUAAAUAAAUACUGUCUUUGACUACUUGAAAGCGGUGAAAAUAUUAUAGUCACAGGAUAUAUAGCCACUGGCCCACUGCUGUUCUGACAACAACUUAUUUUGUUAGAAAAAUGCAAUACAAAGACUGUUGAUUGAUGCAAACUUCAGAAUAUGAUGG